GACGAACGCUGGCGGCGUGCCUAAUACAUGCAAGUCGAGCGAAUCAAUAGGAGCUUGCUCCUGUUGGUUAGCGGCGGACGGGUGAGUAACACGUGGGCAACCUGCCUGUAAGACUGGGAUAACUUCGGGAAACCGGAGCUAAUACCGGAUAAUCCUUUUCCACUCAUGUGGGAAAGCUGAAAGUCGGUUUCGGCUGACACUUACAGAUGGGCCCGCGGCGCAUUAGCUAGUUGGUGAGGUAACGGCUCACCAAGGCGACGAUGCGUAGCCGACCUGAGAGGGUGAUCGGCGACACUGGGACUGAGACACGGCCCAGACUCCUACGGGAGGCAGCAGUAGGGAAUCUUCCGCAAUGGACGAAAGUCUGACGGAGCAACGCCGCGUGAGCGAUGAAGGCCUUCGGGUCGUAAAGCUCUGUUGUUAGGGAAGAAUAAGUAUCGGAGUAACUGCCGGUACCUCGACGGUACCUAACCAGAAAGCCACGGCUAACUACGUGCCAGCAGCCGCGGUAA
This 512-nucleotide ribosomal RNA is filed under the name uncultured bacterium. RNAcentral describes it as "partial 16S ribosomal RNA". It matches the Rfam family "Bacterial small subunit ribosomal RNA", at positions 28 to 523 of the family's 1533-position model. The record is from RNAcentral.